GUUUUAUCAACAUUUUUUCUGUAAUUUUCUUCUUUUUAAUGUAGGUAUUAACUAUGGCAGAAGAUGAAGAUUCGAGACAGUUUUCCUAUUGAAUUUCUUUUGUCCAAUAUUUGAAAAAUCUGACCUGUUGUUCAAACUCUUGCAGACAGAGGAUUCAGACAUUGUUACUUGCCUCAACAUGAUAAGAUAAUUUCUAGUCUACUUGGAACAUCUAAGAAAUGAUGAAACUUUAUUAUGUAAUCCAUGCAAAGCUCAGACUCUCAGGGCGGUAAAUUGCAAGAAUUGCAAAAAACAAGGGUUUGACCUACAAUGGGAAAAAAUUGUUGAAAUGAAAGGUCCUCCAGAAGUUUCAAGGAAGAGAAACAACCAAG
RNAcentral lists this long non-coding RNA (371 nucleotides) under Olea europaea subsp. europaea. Lineage: Eukaryota; Viridiplantae; Streptophyta; Magnoliopsida; Lamiales; Oleaceae. The record is from RNAcentral.